UCUGCGCCCCGGCCUGAGUGGAGCUCUUUUUAUUUUUUGCGUUGGGAGAGGAUUGGGAAAAUAAAAAAGCGAGAACGGAGGACGGAUAAAGGU
Molecule: unclassified non-coding RNA, 93 nt
Filed under: Epilithonimonas hungarica
Lineage: Bacteria; Pseudomonadati; Bacteroidota; Flavobacteriia; Flavobacteriales; Weeksellaceae
Description: Chryseobacterium hungaricum Flavo-1 RNA
Source: RNAcentral